This 461-nucleotide long non-coding RNA is filed under the name Numida meleagris (helmeted guineafowl). RNAcentral describes it as "lncRNA (ENSNMEG00000018459.1)". The record is from RNAcentral. Lineage: Eukaryota; Metazoa; Chordata; Aves; Galliformes; Numididae.
AUGGCAAGAACUCUGAACAAAGAUUUCCAGUGUAACUUGCACACAGAGCCAGGCUUUCAGAACGGCCAUGCAGAUCUGGUCAAGAGACAGGCUCCCUUUGUGAGGGGCAGCACUGGGGACUGCGGGCAUCUGGAGAGACUCAGGAGCUGUAUGUAUAAAGCCACAGCAGAUGGGACCUGUAAGACAGCCACAGGCAUUGCUUGUGCCCCGCAACUGUAACACUUGGGUCUGUGUGAUAAUAACUGUGACUUCAUUGGAGUUAAAUCCAGCUGCCAACUGGUCAUAAGUGAUGCUCCUCCGGGGUCACUAUUGGAGACUGUCCUGUUUAAUGUCUUUACUGAUGAUCUAGAUGAGGGAAUUGAGUGCACCCUCGGUAAGUUGCAGAUGACACUGAGUUGGGAGGAAGUGUUGAUCUGCCUGGGGAUAGGAAGGCCCUACAGAGGGAUCCGGACAUCUGGAUU